UUGCGAUUGACCUUGCGUUAAUGGUUUUUGUAAGCGAUAGAAGCGAUGCCGCGCGUUAUCGCGCGUUGUCGCGGACAGUCGCUGCGUUUUACCUGGCGACAGAAAUAUUCGUCGCAUCGCUCGUCGCAACCGAAGUAUAAACCCACCUUAAGUAGUGUUUAAUAGUGUGAUCACUAUUGCCAUGAUUGUGUAGUGUAGAAGUCCCCCCUUUCCCUCCGCUGUAUUUACAAGGGUGUCUAUUUAUGACUGAAAUUAUCCAUAUUUUUUUUUUAAUGCCUUUAUUAUGCAUGAUGUAGCACUGAUUUUGACACUGUUGUCAAAGAUAAUAAUUACAUGAAUUACACAUGAAUUACAAUGUUGUUGAUGAAAUUUUAGUUUUACAUAUUUGUCAUUUGCUUGAUUUAGGAAAUUAUUACCAUGUACAAUGUCAAGCUGUAUGAAGGGUUUCCUUCUUCUUUUGAAUUGUCAGACUAAACAGGAUCUUGAUUACACACAUGGUUUUUUUUUUUUUUUUUUUCCUGUUUGGCGACUUCGUUUGGGUUAAGGUGCUUCAUAUUGACACUUGUUCAUUGUUGCUUAUUGAUACCAUGUUUGGUAUAAUUGUAUAUUAUUGCAUUAUUAUAAUAAAGCACCUUUCGCCAAACACUAUUAGUUGUCAAUUGCGUACAAUGGGAGGCAACUCUCAUUGUACCUAAUUGAUAACGCCGUGUACUAGAUUUGCCUCCCCUUGUUGCGUCAUCCGAUGCUUAGUUAGCAUGUGGUUUUAGCAAAGAGCAUGUUCCAGCCACAUUUUAUUAUGUAUUUGAUUAAUUUUUUUUUUUCCUUCCUUAUAAUUUAUAUUUAAUCUUACCCAGAUUGGGUUAAGGUGCUUCAUAUUGACACUUGUUCAUUGUUGCUUAUUGAUACCAUGUUUAGUAUAAUUGUAUAUUAUUGCAUUAUUAUAAUAAAGCACCUUUCACCAAACACUAUUAGUUGUCAAUU
RNAcentral lists this long non-coding RNA (981 nucleotides) under Mytilus galloprovincialis (Mediterranean mussel). Lineage: Eukaryota; Metazoa; Mollusca; Bivalvia; Mytilida; Mytilidae. The record is from RNAcentral.